UUUAUGGAGAGUUUGAUCCUGGCUCAGGAUGAACGCUGGCGGCGUGCCUAAUACAUGCAAGUCGAGCGAACAGACGGGGAGCUUGCUCCCCCGACGUUAGCGGCGGACGGGUGAGUAACACGUGGGUAACCUACCUAUAAGACUGGAAUAACUCCGGGAAACCGGGGCUAAUGCCGGAUAACAUGUUGGACUGCAUGGUCCUUCAGUUAAAGACGGUCUUGCAGUCCCUUUUUGAUAGACCCCCGCCGUAUUAUCUAGUUGGUAAGGUAACGGCUUACCAAGGCACCGAUACGUAGCCC
This 299-nucleotide ribosomal RNA is filed under the name Staphylococcus pettenkoferi. RNAcentral's name for it is "partial 16S ribosomal RNA". It matches the Rfam family "Bacterial small subunit ribosomal RNA", at positions 1 to 289 of the family's 1533-position model. The record is from RNAcentral. Lineage: Bacteria; Bacillati; Bacillota; Bacilli; Caryophanales; Staphylococcaceae.